RNAcentral lists this unclassified non-coding RNA (317 nucleotides) under uncultured organism. RNAcentral describes it as "partial contains 16S-23S ribosomal RNA intergenic spacer and 23S ribosomal RNA". The record is from RNAcentral.
UCACCUCCUUUCCAAGGAGCAUCUCCGCCUCGGAUCAAAACGAGGUCGUGAACGACGCCAUCGAGGCGUCAUCAAGAAUGCACCUAGGUCGAACGGAAUCUGCCUGGCAUCAAUGCCGGCGAGCGUUUGUCCUCUACCGUCUUUCCUGUUCAGUUUUCAGGGCAUCAGCCCUACGUUUCUUUGACAAUUUUUUAUGGGUAAAGAAAUAGAUGCACGACGUGGGGGGGGGGGACACGGACCUGCAUAUCGGAUGAGAUCAAGGCACUUUAUGGUCAAGUUACUAAGGGUUGACGGUGGUAUACCUAGGCACACAGAGA